Molecule: long non-coding RNA, 630 nt
Organism: Aplysia californica (California sea hare)
Lineage: Eukaryota; Metazoa; Mollusca; Gastropoda; Aplysiida; Aplysiidae
Exons: 2
Source: RefSeq, a predicted model, not a curated record
UCCCUCUCUCAUAUUAUGUUGUUCCUUUGCUCGACUUUCUAAUGAUAGACUAUGGCGUGGAUAAACGGUUGGAACCUGUGAUCAAUGCUGCACUUGAUCAUUCGCCCGACACUCUAAGCUUCUUAUGGAGCCCUAAGAGAGAUUACGCGUGUGAUUUCUUAAUGUAUAGUAUACCAGGGGCACCUACAUGGGCCUGUGUGUGCGGCGUAGUGUGUCGUUUUCUGCUGGCUCGGGACAUUCGUGAAGGAAUAAGUGCGAUCUGUCGACAAAAGAAGUGCUCGUUAUUUCUUGAUCACGCGUGUUGAUUUUUAUUCGUUGUGAUAGAUAAACGACGGUUUUAAACAUUUAAGCGGUGUUCUUCUGAUGUAAUUUGUCGAGAAGUGCUUUCGAUCACUGAUGUGAAAUACGUCGUCAAGACAGCUUAUAGUGACGCGUGUUGAUAAAAAUACAAAGCAUUUCGAGUCCCGUAGAGCGUUCCAAAACUUCUUCAACAAAACUGUCGAAAGGAUUAGCAGUACAAGUUGCACUUCCUAAAGUCGGAUUACCUGAAACACUACUAGCAAAAGGAUUACCUUAAGUGCCUAUUGCGGUGACACCCAAAACAAAACAAGAAAGAAAGAAAAAAACAAA